CCCUUAGAUGUUCUGGGCUGCACGCGCGCUACACUGAUGCACUCAACGAGUUUACGACCUUGCCCGAUAGGGUUGGGUAAUCUUUUUAAAAUGCAUCGUGAUGGGGAUAGAUUAUUGCAAUUAUUAAUCUUCAACGAGGAAUUCCUAGUAAGCGCGAGUCAUCAGCUCGUGCUGAUUACGUCCCUGCCCUUUGUACACACCGCCCGUCGCUCCUACCGAUUGAGUGCUCAGGUGAAUAAUUCGGACUGCAGCAAUGUUUGGAACCCGAACGUUGCAGCGGAAAGUUUAGUGAACCUUAUCACUUAGAGGAAGGAGAAGUCGUAACA
RNAcentral lists this ribosomal RNA (326 nucleotides) under uncultured eukaryote. Its description in RNAcentral is "partial 18S ribosomal RNA". It matches the Rfam family "Eukaryotic small subunit ribosomal RNA", at positions 1470 to 1796 of the family's 1831-position model. The record is from RNAcentral.